RNAcentral lists this ribosomal RNA (252 nucleotides) under uncultured bacterium. RNAcentral's name for it is "partial 16S ribosomal RNA". It matches the Rfam family "Bacterial small subunit ribosomal RNA", at positions 524 to 776 of the family's 1533-position model. The record is from RNAcentral.
UACGUAGGUGGCGAGCGUUAUCCGGAAUUAUUGGGCGUAAAGCGCGCGCAGGCGGCUUUGUAAGUUUGGUGUUUAAUCUCAGAGCUCAACUCUGAUUCGCAUCGAAAACUGCAAGGCUUGAGUACAGAAGAGGAAAGUGGAAUUCCACGUGUAGCGGUGAAAUGCGUAGAGAUGUGGAGGAACACCAGUGGCGAAGGCGACUUUCUGGGCUGUAACUGACGCUGAGGCGCGAAAGCCAGGGGAGCAAACGGG